ACUCCUACGGGAGGCAGCAGUGGGGAAUAUUGCACAAUGGGCGCAAGCCUGAUGCAGCCAUGCCGCGUGUAUGAAGAAGGCCUUCGGGUUGUAAAGUACUUUCAGCAGUGAGGAAGGCGGGUGUGUUAAUAGCACAUUCGUUUGACGUUAGCUGCAGAAGAAGCACCGGCUAACUCCGUGCCAGCAGCCGCGGUAAUACGGAGGGUGCGAGCGUUAAUCGGAAUUACUGGGCGUAAAGCGCAUGCAGGUGGUUUGUUAAGUCAGAUGUGAAAGCCCGGGGCUCAACCUCGGAAUUGCAUUUGAAACUGGCAGACUAGAGUACUGUAGAGGGGGGUAGAAUUUCAGGUGUAGCGGUGAAAUGCGUAGAGAUCUGAAGGAAUACCGGUGGCGAAGGCGGCCCCCUGGACAGAUACUGACACUCAGAUGCGAAAGCGUGGGGAGCAAACAGGAUUAGAUACCCUGGUAGGAUAGCG
RNAcentral lists this ribosomal RNA (473 nucleotides) under uncultured bacterium. RNAcentral's name for it is "bacterial SSU rRNA". It matches the Rfam family "Bacterial small subunit ribosomal RNA", at positions 335 to 799 of the family's 1533-position model. The record is from RNAcentral.